UCCCCUGUAGCUCAGUGGCAGAGCGCGCGGCUGUUAACCGCGUUGUCGUUGGUUCGAUCCCAACCGGGGGAGCCA
RNAcentral lists this transfer RNA (75 nucleotides) under Candidatus Margulisiibacteriota bacterium. RNAcentral describes it as "tRNA-Asn". It matches the Rfam family "tRNA". From Rfam's summary of the family: Transfer RNA (tRNA) molecules are approximately 80 nucleotides in length. Their secondary structure includes four short double-helical elements and three loops (D, anti-codon, and T loops). Lineage: Bacteria; Bacillati; Candidatus Margulisiibacteriota. The record is from RNAcentral.